AUUGAACGCUGGCGGCAUGCCUUACACAUGCAAGUCGAACGGCAGCGGACCUUCGGGUGCCGGCGAGUGGCGAACGGGUGAGUAAUAUAUCGGAACGUACCUUUCAGUGGGGGAUAACGUAGCGAAAGUUACGCUAAUACCGCAUAUUCUGUGAGCAGGAAAGCAGGGGAUCGCAAGACCUUGCGCUGAUUGAGCGGCCGAUAUCAGAUUAGCUAGUUGGUGAGGUAAAGGCUCACCAAGGCGACGAUCUGUAGCGGGUCUGAGAGGAUGAUCCGCCACACUGGAACUGAGACACGGUCCAGACUCCUACGGGAGGCAGCAGUGGGGAAUUUUGGACAAUGGGCGCAAGCCUGAUCCAGCCAUGCCGCGUGAGUGAAGAAGGCCUCGGUUGUAA
Molecule: ribosomal RNA, 394 nt
Filed under: uncultured bacterium
Lineage: Bacteria
Description: bacterial SSU rRNA
Rfam family: Bacterial small subunit ribosomal RNA
Source: RNAcentral